UACAGAGGUCUCAACCGUUGUUCGGAUUCAUUGGGCGUAAAGGGUGCGUAGGUGGCGCCGUAAGUCGGGUGUGAAAUUUCGGAGCUUAACUCCGAAACUGCAUUCGAUACUGCGGUGCUUGAGGACUGGAGAGGAGACUGGAAUUCAUGGUGUAGCAGUGAAAUGCGUAGAGAUCAUGAGGAAGACCAGUGGCGAAGGCGGGUCUCUGGACAGUUCCUGACACUGAGGCACGAAGGCCAGGGGAGCAAACGGG
RNAcentral lists this ribosomal RNA (253 nucleotides) under uncultured bacterium. RNAcentral's name for it is "partial 16S ribosomal RNA". It matches the Rfam family "Bacterial small subunit ribosomal RNA", at positions 524 to 776 of the family's 1533-position model. The record is from RNAcentral.